GACGAACGCUGGCGGCGUGCUUAAUACAUGCAAGUCGAGCGAGGGUUACUGUUUCGGAUCCCUUCGGGGUGAAGAAGCUUUAACCUAGCGGCGGACGGGUGAGUAACGCGUGGGUAACCUACCCCAAAGUCCGGGAUAACAGCGGGAAACCGCUGCUAAUACCGGAUGUCUUUACCUUGGGGCAUCUUGAGGUAAAGAAAGGUAACGCUUUGGGAUGGGCCCGCGUCCCAUUAGCUAGUUGGUGAGGUAACGGCUCACCAAGGCGACGAUGGGUAGCCGGCCUGAGAGGGUGGACGGCCACACUGGGACUGAGGCACGGCCCAGACUCCUACGGGAGGCAGCAGUAGGGAAUAUUGCGCAAAUGGACGGAAGUCUGACGCAGCGACGCCGCGUGAGCGAUGAAGGUCUUCGGAUCGUAAAGCUCUGUCCUUGGGGAAGAAGGUCUUCGGACUUGACGGUACCCAAGAAGAAAGCCCCGGCUAACUACGUG
This 490-nucleotide ribosomal RNA is filed under the name uncultured bacterium. Its description in RNAcentral is "bacterial SSU rRNA". It matches the Rfam family "Bacterial small subunit ribosomal RNA", at positions 28 to 507 of the family's 1533-position model. The record is from RNAcentral.